CACCACUUUUAAACAAUAUAUCCCAAAUAAUGGGGUCGUUAGCUCAGUCGGUAGAGCAGCGGACUUUUAAUCCGUU
This 76-nucleotide transfer RNA is filed under the name Aggregatibacter actinomycetemcomitans NUM4039. Its description in RNAcentral is "tRNA-Lys". The stretch from base 33 to 76 matches the Rfam family "tRNA", at positions 1 to 43 of the family's 71-position model. From Rfam's summary of the family: Transfer RNA (tRNA) molecules are approximately 80 nucleotides in length. Their secondary structure includes four short double-helical elements and three loops (D, anti-codon, and T loops). Further hydrogen bonds mediate the characteristic L-shaped molecular structure. tRNAs have two regions of fundamental functional importance: the anti-codon, which is responsible for specific mRNA codon recognition, and the 3' end, to which the tRNAs corresponding amino acid is attached (by aminoacyl-tRNA synthetases). tRNAs cope with the degeneracy of the genetic code in two manners: having more than one tRNA (with a specific anti-codon) for a particular amino acid; and 'wobble' base-pairing, i.e. permitting non-standard base-pairing at the 3rd anti-codon position. Lineage: Bacteria; Pseudomonadati; Pseudomonadota; Gammaproteobacteria; Pasteurellales; Pasteurellaceae. The record is from RNAcentral.